RNAcentral lists this ribosomal RNA (239 nucleotides) under Eupelmus impennis. RNAcentral's name for it is "partial 28S ribosomal RNA". The record is from RNAcentral. Lineage: Eukaryota; Metazoa; Arthropoda; Insecta; Hymenoptera; Eupelmidae.
AAAAGAACUUUGAAGAGAGAGUUCAAGAGUACGUGAAACCGUUCAGGGGUAAACCUGAGAAACCCAAAAGAUCGAAUGGGGAGAUUCAUCGUCAGCGGCUCUGGCUUCCGUGCGGCUCGCGAUGGCAGGGACCUCGGUCUCGCGUCACGCGUCCGCUGCGGUAUGUCCUGGUGCCGUCGGCGUGCACUUCUCCCCUAGUAGGACGUCGCGACCCGUUGGGUGUCGGCCUACGGCCCGGU